RNAcentral lists this ribosomal RNA (253 nucleotides) under uncultured bacterium. RNAcentral describes it as "partial 16S ribosomal RNA". It matches the Rfam family "Bacterial small subunit ribosomal RNA", at positions 524 to 776 of the family's 1533-position model. The record is from RNAcentral.
UACGAGGGGGGCAAAUGUUGUUCGGAAUCACUGGGCGUAAAGGGAGCGUAGGCGGGUGUUUAAGUUAGGUGUUUAAUCCCGGGGCCCAACCCCGGUCGUGCACCUAAAACUGGGCAUCUUGAAUAGUGGAGAGGUCAGUGGAAUUGGGGGUGUAGCGGUGGAAUGCGUAGAGAUCCCCAAGAACACCAGUUGCGAAGGCGGCUGACUGGACACAUAUUGACGCUGAGGCUCGAAAGCAUGGGGAGCAAACAGG